Molecule: long non-coding RNA, 1520 nt
Organism: Mizuhopecten yessoensis (Yesso scallop)
Lineage: Eukaryota; Metazoa; Mollusca; Bivalvia; Pectinida; Pectinidae
Exons: 3
Source: RefSeq, a predicted model, not a curated record
UGCCUUUUAGAAUCUUUGCAAAGACGUCAGGUGUGCAGUGUGAAGAUGACCCUCUCCUUCAGGAGAACAAAAAAUUUAAAGAUGAAGUUAAGCUUCUAAGAGCAGAGGUGAAGCAGUUGCGAUGGGGAAUUAACAAAAUAAAGGAUGACAAAGCUACACAUUUCUAUACAAGGUUACCAUCAUUUGCUGUCUUUCUGUGGUUUUUUAACUAUUUAUCACCAAAAGCUGAAAGAAUGACAUUCUGAGGAGGAAAGAGCACAUCAACAACAGACAGACAGCGACCAAUGAAGACAUCAGUUCCUCUCAUUGAUCUGUUUUUGACAGUACUGAUGAGGCUUAACGUUGGACUCUUUGUCCAGGAUAUGGCAGACAGAUUUUCCAUUUCUAAAUCCACCUUUCCUAAUAUGUUUGUCACUCGGAUCUGUAUUUUGUAUGAAGAAUUGAAACUGAUUAAUGUUUUCUCAUCCAAAGAACUUAAGAAACAAACAACUCCCUCUGUAUUCAAGCCUUUUUCAGAAUUUGCGUAUUAUUUUAGAUUGUACUAAAAUUUUCAUUCAGAUAUCUUCCAGUUUAAUCAACCAGAACUUAACAUUUUCCAAUUACUAGCACCAUAAUACUCUCACAUUUUUAAUUGGUAUAACUCCAUCUGGAAUUAUAUCAUUUGUAUCACAGGCUUGGGGUUGGUAGAACUUUUGACAGACAGAUUGUUAUAGAAAGUUGGCUUCUUGAUCUGUUAGAACCAGAUGAUAAUGUGAUGGCAGACAAGGGGUUUACUAUUGCUGAUCUGCUUUAAGAAAGACAUAGCACUUUAAACAUACCACCUUUUCAGGGAAAAAAUAGUCAAUUUACUGUUAAGGAAGUGUUUGAAACCCAAGAAAUUGCUCAAGUUAGAAUCCAUGUUGAGUGAAGCAUUGGUCGAGUCAAGAUUUUUUAUUUGUUUGAUGGUGUAUUACCAUUAUCUCUUGCACCUAUUGCAUCAAAGUGCUUCCAGGUUGCCAGCUGACUAACACAUUUAGAUGUUCCUCUUGUUGUUGAAAGCAAAUAAUUUUUGAUACUGUUUCCACUUGAUGGGUAUUCUGAUCAGUCUCUAAGUAUAUGUUACUUUGAAAGCCAAUAAAAAGUACAAUGGACAACUAUAUAGGUUUUUAUAAACAGAGAAAAAAAGAGAUGUUACACUUUCAUGCUGAAAAUAAACAUGAAGGAAAUUUAUUUUCCAUAUCACAUGAAAUCUUUUUUGCGUCAAAAUAGUGCAAUAUUAUCUAUCAUGUCCCAGAAAGUAUUAUUUCCAAAUAAAACAAUUGCUGAAGGUGUACAUGUAGUGAUCAUUAUUAACCAGGACUGGUCAGGAUGAAAGCUGAUACAAAAGUAAACAAUUGGAGACAGUCAUUAUUACAUUAUCACAAAUAGUCAUUUCUGUGACUUGGCAUAUAUCAGUUGCAUGUUUGGUUCUGCUUUUAGUAUGAAACCUAUACAGGUUAUGUGACCUAAUUAUUACAUGUUCCUGCGCCAAACCAUGUAAU